AUGAACGCUGGCGGCGUGCCUAAUACAUGCAAGUCGAGCGAACGGACGAGAAGCUUGCUUCUCUGAUGUUAGCGGCGGACGGGUGAGUAACACGUGGAUAACCUACCUAUGAGACUGGGAUAACUUCGGGAAACCGGAGCUAAUACCGGAUAAUAUUUUGAACCGCAUGGUUCAAAAGUGAAAGACGGUCUUGCUGUCACUUAUAGAUGGAUCCGCGCUGCAUUAGCUAGUUGGUAAGGUAACGGCUUACCAAGGCAACGAUGCAUAGCCGACCUGAGAGGGUGAUCGGCCACACUGGAACUGAGACACGGUCCAGACUCCUACGGGAGGCAGCAGUAGGGAAUCUUCCGCAAUGGGCGAAAGCCUGACGGAGCAACGCCACGUGAGUGAUGAAGGUCUUCGGAUCGUAAAACUCUGUUAUUAGGGAAGAACAUAUGUGUAAGUAACUGUGCACAUCUUGACGGUACCUAAUCAGAAAGCCACGGCUAACUACGUG
Molecule: ribosomal RNA, 496 nt
Filed under: uncultured bacterium
Lineage: Bacteria
Description: partial 16S ribosomal RNA
Rfam family: Bacterial small subunit ribosomal RNA
Source: RNAcentral